UUCGGAUUGACUCUAAGAGUCAGGCACAUUAGGCCUUGGGGGAAAGUCUCUGGAGCAGGAGGGCACUAGCCAGGCAACUAGCAGAUGUCUUCCAGCAUCAGGAUGUGAAUGCCCUUGGCAGGCUUCAGCUGUCUGGCAUGUGAUUAACAACCAACUUAGAACUGGUAUGGACAAGGGGAAUCUGACUGUCUAAUUAAAACAUAGCAUUGUGAUGGCCAGAAAGUGAUAUUAACACAAUGUGAUUUCUGCUCAGUGCUCUGAAUGUUAAAGUGAAGAAAUUCAAUCAAGUGUGGGUAAACAGCAAAAGUAACUAUGACUCUCUUAAGGUAGUCAAAUGCCUCAUCAUCUAAUUAGUGAUGCACAUGAAUGGAUUAAUGAGAUUCCCACUGUCCCUAUCUACUAUCUAGCAAAACCAUAGCCAAGGGAAUGGGCUUGAUAAAAUCAGUGGGGAAAGAAGACUCUGUUGAGCUUGACUCUAGUUUGACAUUGUGAAAAGACAUAUCAGAUGUAGAAUAGGUGGGAGCUUUGGUACUGGUGAAAUACCACUACCUUUAUUGUUUUUUUACUUAUUCAAUAAAGCAGAACUGAGCUUUACUGCCCAACUUCUAGCAUUAAGGUUCUUUGCAGGCUGAUCAAGGUUAAAGACAUUAUCAGAUGAAGAGUUUGGCUGGAGCAGCACAUCUGUUAAAUCAUAACACAGGUGUUCUAAGAGGGACUCAUGGAGAACAGAAAUCUCCAGUAGAACAAAAGGGUAAAAGUCCCCUUGAUUUUGAUUUUCAGUGUGAAUACAAACCAUGAAAGUGUGGCCUAUUGAUUCUUUAGUCCCUCAAAAUUUGAGGCUAGAGGUGCCAGAAAAGUUACCACAGGGAUAACUAGCUUGUGGCAGCCAAGUGUUCAUAGUGAUGUUGCUUUUUGAUCCUUCAAUGUCAGCUCUUCCUAUUAUACUGAAGCAGAAUUUGGUAAGUGUUGGAUUGUUCACUCACUAAUAGGGAACAUGAGCUGGAUUUAGAUCAUCAUGAGACAGGUUAGUUUUACCCUACUGAUGAAGAUCACCACAACAGUAAUUCAAUUUAGUAUGAGAGGAACUGUUGAUUCAGAUAAUUGGUUUUUGUGGCUGUCUGACCAGGCAGUGCCACAAAGCUACCAUCUGCUGGAUUAUGGCUGAAUGCCUCUAAGUCAGAAUCCAUACUGGAACAUGGUGAUGUUGCUCCACAUGUUGU
Molecule: ribosomal RNA, 1220 nt
Filed under: Coccidioides immitis RMSCC 3703
Lineage: Eukaryota; Fungi; Ascomycota; Eurotiomycetes; Onygenales; Onygenaceae
Description: eukaryotic LSU rRNA
Rfam family: Eukaryotic large subunit ribosomal RNA
Source: RNAcentral